GCCUAACGGCUGAACUGGCAACUUGGAGAAGUGGCAAGUCUUCCAGUAUGGGGAGCAAAACAGCUAUGGGUCAAGUCCGAUAUCUUUAGGAGAAGUCUUAUUGUGAGGGCGAGUUAUAUAACACCAUAGGACUGGCCGUCCCAUAUGAAAAGAUUAUAUUAGAAUUGAAUGAAGCUUUGUUUAUAUAUUGAUAAUGACAGUAUAUAUAUCGUGUCUUGACUAAUUGCGUGCCAGCAGUCGCGGUAAUACGUAAGAGACUAGUGUUAUUCAUCUUAAUUAGGUUUAAAGGGUACCCAGACGGUCAAUAUAGCUUAUAAAAUGUUAGUACUUGACUAGAGUUUUAUGUAAGAGGGCAGUACUUGAGGAGGAGAGAUGAAAUUUCGUGAUACCAAAGGGACUCUGUANAGGCGAAGGCAGCCCUCUAUGUAAAAACUGACGUUGAAGGACGAAGGCACAGAGAACAAACAGGAUUAGAUACCCAAGUAGUCUUUGCAGUAAAUGAUGAAUGCCAUAGGUUAGAUUGGUCAAUUAUAGUCUAGGGUUAGUCUAGCAAACUAAUACCCUAUGNUAUAAUCCUAAUAUCUGGUCUAUAAAUGAAAGUGUAAGCAUUUCACCUCAAGAGUAAUGUGGCAACGCAGGAACUGAAAUCACUAGACCGUUUCUGACACCAGUAGUGAAG
This 679-nucleotide ribosomal RNA is filed under the name Fusarium oxysporum f. sp. gladioli. RNAcentral describes it as "SSU rRNA". It matches the Rfam family "Bacterial small subunit ribosomal RNA", at positions 291 to 937 of the family's 1533-position model. The record is from RNAcentral. Lineage: Eukaryota; Fungi; Ascomycota; Sordariomycetes; Hypocreales; Nectriaceae.